ACACAUCUUCGCUAGUGCUUCUCAAGAUUGUUUCUUAUCUGUCCAGUACUUUCUCUGUCAUUGGCAAAAAGAAACACAGUGGUGCUACCAGCAGUGAAGGAAAAGGAAAGUUGAGCAAACUACAGUGUCGCCACAUCGUGUCAUCUUAGAUGAAUGUCUACAUCGCCAGUAAUGACCUGCCUACACAGGCAGUGUGUGGGGCAAUCAGUUUCAGCCUGAGACUGGCUCACACCACAACCACAAGAGAAGGGAACCAGAUGUGAAGAUUGCCAAAAAGCAGCCUAAAUCGUAUCCCCAAAGAAGUUAACCCAGUUGUCCCCUCUGAGAGUACCAGCAUGCAGCUCUGUUUGAAAAACAAACUAAGAUUGUAACCUAGGCCAAUCACAAAAAAAAGAUAAUUGUGAGGAUAAGUGGCAUGAAAAUCGAAUAUAUUUUCACCAAAACUAUGACGAUAAAACGUUUUUUUAAUGCCUC
Molecule: long non-coding RNA, 474 nt
Organism: Syngnathoides biaculeatus (alligator pipefish)
Lineage: Eukaryota; Metazoa; Chordata; Actinopteri; Syngnathiformes; Syngnathidae
Exons: 3
Source: RefSeq, a predicted model, not a curated record